Molecule: long non-coding RNA, 792 nt
Organism: Limulus polyphemus (Atlantic horseshoe crab)
Lineage: Eukaryota; Metazoa; Arthropoda; Merostomata; Xiphosura; Limulidae
Exons: 4
Source: RefSeq, a predicted model, not a curated record
UAGUCCCUUUUGGUUUUUCAAGAAAUAGAAUAGUGUAUAAUUGUUGUAUUUCAAUCACACUAUGUUCGCCAUAUCCAUUGCCGACGACGCGUUUCUCUCAAUCCUGAGCUCAUCAUUUCGAUUGAGACACGACAUAGUAUGGGUUGGAACAUUAUUUAUAUACGCCAUUUGUUACAACAAGAUGUUUUACAGGGAGGAUUCUAAUAUCAAUAUUUGCUGUUUAAGAAAACAACUGAUUAUAAAAGAUACAGACCUGAUGGACUUCUUGCCACCCUUGAUGAUCAGCCACUCCAAAGAUGGCAUGAUCGUGUAACAAACAUUCUGUUAGUUUUGGAUCACGGCCGUAGGAGACACUGUAGUACAGUGCUGUUAAACCUCUGUUAUCUUUAUAGUUUGGUGAUGCUCCCAAAUCAAGCAGACUCUACAAUUAAGGAGUAUUAUAUUAAUCCAGCUUCAACAACUCAAGCUCCAUCUUAAUUUUAUAAUUUAAAUUUUUGAAUUAUAUCAGAUUUGGUGCAACUGACACAUUGCAUAUUAUUAACAGAAUUUCAUACAGAGUUACACAAGAGAUAUCUUCACACAACCAUCCCUCACUCAGAACAGAUAGACUAGGAAGAUGGCAACUGCAACUAGUCAACAGUAGACACCACCAACACUUGGACUACUCUUGUCUGAUCGAAUGGUAGGACCAUCACUGUUAUAGCACAUUCACAGUCCCAGAGUAUGUAACUAAUAUUUGAUGACAGGAUUAAGAUCAUGGUAGACUUCCAUGGUAGACUUCAAUUCCACUUA